This 1056-nucleotide ribosomal RNA is filed under the name Conticribra weissflogii. Its description in RNAcentral is "partial Bacterial large subunit ribosomal RNA". It matches the Rfam family "Bacterial large subunit ribosomal RNA", at positions 177 to 1296 of the family's 2925-position model. Lineage: Eukaryota; Bacillariophyta; Thalassiosirophyceae; Thalassiosirales; Thalassiosiraceae. The record is from RNAcentral.
AAGCGAACCCGGGGAAUUGAAACAUCUAAGUACCCGGAGGAAAGGACAUCAAUUGAUACUCCCCUAGUAGCGGCGAGCGAACGGGGACCAGGCCUGGUCUGAAAUAAAGCAAAGCAUCUGGAAAGUUGCGCCAUAGUGGGUGAUAGCCCCGUAGCUGUAAAAUGAAGACCUUUUUGAGUAGGGCGGGACACGUGAAAUCCUGUCUGAACAUGGGGGGACCACCCUCCAAGCCUAAGUACUCCUUACCGACCGAUAGUGAACUAGUACCGUGAGGGAAAGAUGAAAAGUACCCCGAUGAGGGGAGUGAAACAGUACCUGAAACCGGAUGCUUACAAGCUGAGGGAGCUCUUCGGAGUGACCUCGUACCUUUUGUAUAAUGGGUCAACGACUUAGUGUUGUAUGCAAGCUUAAGCCGAUAGGUGUAGGCGCAGCGAAAGCGAGUCUGAAUAGGGCGCUAUAGUUAGUAGUGGUAGACGCGAAACCGUGUGAUCUACCCAUGGGCAGGGUGAAGCUGUGGUAACACAUAGUGGAGGCCCGAACCGGUUGACGUUGAAAAGUCUUCGGAUGACCUGUGGGUAGGGGUGAAAGGCCAAUCAAACUCGGAAAUAGCUCGUACUCCCCGAAAUGCAUUUAGGUGCAGCGUUGGUUUAGUUUUAUAGAGGUAGAGCUACUGAUUGGAUGCGGGGGCUUCACCGCCUACCAAUUCCUGACAAACUCCGAAUGCUAUAAAAUGAUGAUCAGCAGUGAGGGCAUGGGUGCUAAGGUCCAUGUCCGAGAGGGAAAGAACCCAGACCAUCAGCUAAGGUCCCCAAAUGUAUGUUAAGUUGAAUAAACGAGGUUGAACUGCUUAGACAGCUAGGAUGUUGGCUUGGAAGCAGCCAUUCAUUUAAAGAGUGCGUAACAGCUCACUAGUCGAGCGGUUCGGCAUGGAUAAUAAUCGGGCAUAAACAUAUUACCGAAGCUAUGGAUUUGUAUUAUAUACAAGUGGUAGGGGAGCAUUGUAACAGGGUAGAAGGUGUACUGUAAGGUAUGCUGGACUGGUUACAAAAGAAAAUG